GAAAAACAAAACGUUAUAACUAUAAAAAAUUAUCCCUCAGUGGAAAGCUUUUCUCAAUGUGCAAUGAAAAUCAUUAGCCUAGGCCACAAGCCAUCUUAGUCACUCAUUGACCCAUCUAGGUGAGUAU
RNAcentral lists this small nuclear RNA (127 nucleotides) under Arabis alpina (gray rockcress). Its description in RNAcentral is "snRNA ENSRNAG00050204289". The record is from RNAcentral. Lineage: Eukaryota; Viridiplantae; Streptophyta; Magnoliopsida; Brassicales; Brassicaceae.